RNAcentral lists this ribosomal RNA (401 nucleotides) under uncultured bacterium. Its description in RNAcentral is "bacterial SSU rRNA". It matches the Rfam family "Bacterial small subunit ribosomal RNA", at positions 28 to 425 of the family's 1533-position model. The record is from RNAcentral.
AUUGAACGCUGGCGGCAUGCUUUACACAUGCAAGUCGAACGGCAGCGGGGCUUCGGCCGUGCCGGCGAGUGGCGAACGGGUGAGUAAUGCAUACGGUAACCGUUGCCGAGUGUCGUGGGGAUAACGUAGCGAAAGCUACGGCGUAAUACCGCAUACGUCCUGAGGGAGAAAGCGGGGGAUCUUUGGACCUCGCGCGAUUGGAGCGGCCGAUGUCGGAUUAGCUAGUAGGUGAGGUAAAGGCUCACCUAGGCGACGAUCCGUAGCGGGUCUGAGAGGAUGAUCCGCCACACUGGGACUGAGACACGGCCCAGACUCCUACGGGAGGCAGCAGUGGGGAAUUUUUGGACAAUGGGGGCAACCCUGAUCCAGCCAUGCCGCGUGAGUGAAGAAGGCCUCGGUUG